CCCUGCCAAAUAUAGCAGUAGCAUCUGAAUAGCACAAAUGUAUAGCAGUAGCAGUACAUAGAUCUGAAAUAUUCUUAUGGACAAAAUUCAUAACAACUCAACUUAUAAAGCCAUGCUUCCUACGGCCUCUCAAUGCCUUAAAAAAAUAAGGAGAGAAAAAAAAAGCAUGAUAAUAAACAUGGCAGUAUAAAAAUAUUGCCAUUGAAAAGGAG
RNAcentral lists this unclassified non-coding RNA (212 nucleotides) under Hevea brasiliensis (rubber tree). The record is from RNAcentral. Lineage: Eukaryota; Viridiplantae; Streptophyta; Magnoliopsida; Malpighiales; Euphorbiaceae.